This 915-nucleotide ribosomal RNA is filed under the name uncultured beta proteobacterium. RNAcentral describes it as "bacterial SSU rRNA". It matches the Rfam family "Bacterial small subunit ribosomal RNA", at positions 8 to 916 of the family's 1533-position model. Lineage: Bacteria; Pseudomonadati; Pseudomonadota; Betaproteobacteria. The record is from RNAcentral.
AGAGUUUGAUCCUGGCUCAGAUUGAACGCUGGCGGAAUGCUUUACACAUGCAAGUCGAACGGCAGCACGGGAGCUUGCUCCUGGUGGCGAGUGGCGAACGGGUGAGUAAUGCGUCGGAACGUACCGAGUAAUGGGGGAUAACGCAGCGAAAGUUGUGCUAAUACCGCAUACGCCUGAGGGGGAAAGUGGGGGAUCGCAAGACCUCACGUUAUUCGAGCGGCCGACGUCUGAUUAGCUAGUUGGUGGGGUAAUGGCUCACCAAGGCGACGAUCAGUAGCGGGUCUGAGAGGAUGAUCCGCCACACUGGGACUGAGACACGGCCCAGACUCCUACGGGAGGCAGCAGUGGGGAAUUUUGGACAAUGGGGGCAACCCUGAUCCAGCCAUUCCGCGUGAGUGAAGAAGGCCUUCGGGUUGUAAAGCUCUUUCAGCAGGAACGAAACGGUACGCUCUAACAUGGCGUGCUAAUGACGGUACCUGCAGAAGAAGCACCGGCUAACUACGUGCCAGCAGCCGCGGUAAUACGUAGGGUGCGUGCGUUAAUCGGAAUUACUGGGCGUAAAGCGUGCGCAGGCGGAUUGUUAAGCAAGACGUGAAAUCCCCGGGCUUAACCUGGGAAUGGCGUUUUGAACUGGCAGUCUAGAGUGUGUCAGAGGGGGGUGGAAUUCCACGUGUAGCAGUGAAAUGCGUAGAGAUGUGGAGGAACACCGAUGGCGAAGGCAGCCCCCUGGGAUAACACUGACGCUCAUGUACGAAAGCGUGGGUAGCAAACAGGAUUAGAUACCCUGGUAGUCCACGCCCUAAACGAUGUCAACUGGUUGUUGGGGGAGUGAAAUCCCUUAGUAACGAAGCUAACGCGUGAAGUUGACCGCCUGGGGAGUACGGUCGCAAGAUUAAAACUCAAAGGAAUUGACGG